AAUGAACGCUGGCGGUGUGCCUAACACAUGCAAGUCGAACGGCAGCACAGUAAGAUCUUGCUCUUACGGGUGGCGAGUGGCGUACGGGUGAGGAAUACAUCGUCAUCUACUUUUUCGUGGGGGAUAACGUAGGGAAACUUACGCUAAUACCUCAUACAACCUACGGUUUAAAUCAAUUGAUCUUCUCACCUUUCGCGACUCUAUUAGCCGAUGUCGCAUUAGCUGGUUGGCGGGGUAAAGUCCCACCAAGGCGACGCUCCGUAGCUGGUCUGAGAGGAUGAUCAGCCACACUGGAACUGAGACACGGUCCAGACUCCUACGGGAGGCAGCAGUGGGGAAUAUUGGACAAUGGGCGAAAGCCUGAUCGAGCCAUACCGCGUGGGUGAAGAAGGCCUUCGGGUUGUAAAGCCCUUUUGUUGGGAAAGAAAAGCAGCAGGUUAAUACACCGCUGUUCUGACGGUACCCAAAGAAUAAGCACCGGCUAACUUCGUG
This 492-nucleotide ribosomal RNA is filed under the name uncultured bacterium. RNAcentral's name for it is "partial 16S ribosomal RNA". It matches the Rfam family "Bacterial small subunit ribosomal RNA", at positions 29 to 507 of the family's 1533-position model. The record is from RNAcentral.